RNAcentral lists this ribosomal RNA (313 nucleotides) under Ligilactobacillus ruminis. RNAcentral describes it as "bacterial SSU rRNA". It matches the Rfam family "Bacterial small subunit ribosomal RNA", at positions 32 to 319 of the family's 1533-position model. Lineage: Bacteria; Bacillati; Bacillota; Bacilli; Lactobacillales; Lactobacillaceae. The record is from RNAcentral.
CAACGCUGGCGGCGUGCCUAAUACAUGCAAGUCGAACGAAGCUUUCUUUCACCGAAUGCUUGCAUUCACCGAAAGAAGCUUAGUGGCGAACGGGUGAGUAACACGUAGGCAACCUGCCCAAAAGAGGGGGAUAACACUUGGAAACAGGUGCUAAUACCGCAUAACCAUGAACACCGCAUGAUGUUCAUGUAAAAGACGGCUUUUGCUGUCACUUUUGGAUGGGCCUGCGGCGUAUUAACUUGUUGGUGGGGUAACGGCCUACCAAGGUGAUGAUACGUAGCCGAACUGAGAGGUUGAUCGGCCACAUUUGGGA